This 66-nucleotide transfer RNA is filed under the name Potamopyrgus antipodarum. Its description in RNAcentral is "tRNA-Asn". Lineage: Eukaryota; Metazoa; Mollusca; Gastropoda; Littorinimorpha; Tateidae. The record is from RNAcentral.
UAAACGGAGGCCAAAUAGAGGUGCCUAGCUGUUAAUUAGGAGAUUGUAACUAUUCUACCCGUUUAG